This 477-nucleotide ribosomal RNA is filed under the name uncultured bacterium. Its description in RNAcentral is "bacterial SSU rRNA". It matches the Rfam family "Bacterial small subunit ribosomal RNA", at positions 28 to 524 of the family's 1533-position model. The record is from RNAcentral.
GAUGAACGCUAGCGGCAGGCCUAAUACAUGCAAGUCGAGGGGUAGAGUUAGCUUGCUAACUUGAGACCGGCGCACGGGUGCGUAACGCGUAUGCAACCUACCUUUAUCUGGGGGAUAGCCCGAAGAAAUUCGGAUUAACACCGCAUAAAAUCACAGUAUCGCAUGAUGCAAUGAUCAAAUAUUUAUAGGAUAAAGAUGGGCAUGCGUGUCAUUAGUUAGUUGGCGGGGUAACGGCCCACCAAGACCACGAUGACUAGGGGGUCUGAGAGGAUGAUCAGCCACACUGGGACUGAGAUACGGCCCAGACUCCUACGGGAGGCAACAGUGGGGAAUAUUGGACAAUGGGCGAAAGCCUGAUCCAGCAAUGCCGCGUGAGUGAUGAAGGCCUUAGGGUUGUAAAGCUCUUUUACCCGGGAUGAUAAUGACAGUACCGGGAGAAUAAGCCCCGGCUAACUCCGUGCCAGCAGCCGCGGUAAU